Molecule: ribosomal RNA, 253 nt
Filed under: uncultured bacterium
Lineage: Bacteria
Description: partial 16S ribosomal RNA
Rfam family: Bacterial small subunit ribosomal RNA
Source: RNAcentral
UACGAAGGGGGCGAGCGUUGUUCGGAAUUACUGGGCGUAAAGGGCUCGUAGGCGGCCAACUAAGUCAGACGUGAAAUCCCUCGGCUUAACCGGGGAACUGCGUCUGAUACUGGAUGGCUUGAGAUUGGGAGAGGGAUGCGGAAUUCCAGGUGUAGCGGUGAAAUGCGUAGAUAUCUGGAGGAACACCGGUGGCGAAGGCGGCAUCCUGGACCAACACUGACGCUGAGGAGCGAAAGCCAGGGGAGCAAACGGG